Molecule: RNase P RNA, 335 nt
Filed under: Hypnea pannosa
Lineage: Eukaryota; Rhodophyta; Florideophyceae; Gigartinales; Hypneaceae
Description: ribonuclease P RNA
Rfam family: Bacterial RNase P class A
About the family: Ribonuclease P (RNase P) is a ubiquitous endoribonuclease, found in archaea, bacteria and eukarya as well as chloroplasts and mitochondria. Its best characterised activity is the generation of mature 5'-ends of tRNAs by cleaving the 5'-leader elements of precursor-tRNAs.
Source: RNAcentral
GAGGAAAGUCCGGUCUCUAUUUAGAAUAGUACAGCUAUAUAAAAAAUAGUAUAGGUAACUAUGAGGAAAGUGCCACAGAAAUAAACCGCCAUAUUUUUAGGUAAGGGUGCAAAGGUACAUUAAGAGUGUACCAGUAAUAUGAUUAAAAUGUUAGCUAGGUAAACCCCGUAUUAAGAGUAAAGUUAUGUAUAUUGUUAUAAUUUUCUAUAUAAAUAAACAAUUAUAAGUAUUUAUUAAGACUGCAAGAAGUUCUAAUAUAAAAAACUUUAGAUAAAUGACUACCCUUGAUGCAAUGUAUCAAUAUGCUAUGCAUUAAAGAACAGAAUCCGGCUUAU